CUACGGGGGGCUGCAGACGCGGAUCCUCUGCAAUGCACGCAAGUGUGAUAGGGGGAUCCCUCGUGUUGGCGUUAUGCGUCAACUUUUCUAGAGUGUAAGUUGCUUUAGGAAUAAGGGGUGGGCAAGACCGGUGCCAGCCGCCGCGGUAAUCCCGGCGCCCCAAGUGGUAGUCAUUUUUAUUGGGCCUAAAGCAUCCGUAGCCUGUUAGCUAAGUUUCUAGUAAAAUCUAGCAGCUCAACUGUUAGCGUGCUGGAAAUACUGGCUGGCUUGGGAUCGGGAGAAGCUAGAGGGAUGCCAUGGGGAGUGGUAAAAUGCUGUAAUCCAUGGUAGACCAUCAGUGGCGAAGGCGUCUAGCUAGAACGAGUCCGACGGUGAGGGAUGAAAGCUAGGGGAGCAAACCGGAUUAGAUACCCCUGUAGUC
Molecule: ribosomal RNA, 421 nt
Filed under: uncultured archaeon
Lineage: Archaea
Description: partial 16S ribosomal RNA
Rfam family: Archaeal small subunit ribosomal RNA
Source: RNAcentral